CAGCAGCCGCGGGAAUACGGAGGGAGCUAGCGUUGUUCGGAAUUACUGGGCGUAAAGCGCACGUAGGCGGCUUGGUAAGUUAGAGGUGAAAGCCCGGAGCUCAACUCCGGAAUUGCCUUUAAGACUGCCGAGCUAGUAGGUGAGAGAGGUAAGUGGAAUUCCGAGUGUAGAGGUGAAAUUCGUAGAUAUUCGGAAGAACACCAGUGGCGAAGGCGGCUUACUGGCUCAUUCUAGACGCUGAGGUGCGAAAGCGUGGGGAGCAAACAGGAUUAGAUACCCCCGUAGUCCCUGUCUCUUAUAC
RNAcentral lists this ribosomal RNA (301 nucleotides) under uncultured bacterium. Its description in RNAcentral is "partial 16S ribosomal RNA". It matches the Rfam family "Bacterial small subunit ribosomal RNA", at positions 509 to 807 of the family's 1533-position model. The record is from RNAcentral.